This 644-nucleotide ribosomal RNA is filed under the name Escherichia coli. RNAcentral describes it as "partial 23S ribosomal RNA". It matches the Rfam family "Bacterial large subunit ribosomal RNA", at positions 609 to 1253 of the family's 2925-position model. Lineage: Bacteria; Pseudomonadati; Pseudomonadota; Gammaproteobacteria; Enterobacterales; Enterobacteriaceae. The record is from RNAcentral.
UGUAUAAUGGGUCAGCGACUUAUAUUCUGUAGCAAGGUUAACCGAAUAGGGGAGCCGAAGGGAAACCGAGUCUUAACUGGGCGUUAAGUUGCAGGGUAUAGACCCGAAACCCGGUGAUCUAGCCAUGGGCAGGUUGAAGGUUGGGUAACACUAACUGGAGGACCGAACCGACUAAUGUUGAAAAAUUAGCGGAUGACUUGUGGCUGGGGGUGAAAGGCCAAUCAAACCGGGAGAUAGCUGGUUCUCCCCGAAAGCUAUUUAGGUAGCGCCUCGUGAAUUCAUCUCCGGGGGUAGAGCACUGUUUCGGCAAGGGGGUCAUCCCGACUUACCAACCCGAUGCAAACUGCGAAUACCGGAGAAUGUUAUCACGGGAGACACACGGCGGGUGCUAACGUCCGUCGUGAAGAGGGAAACAACCCAGACCGCCAGCUAAGGUCCCAAAGUCAUGGUUAAGUGGGAAACGAUGUGGGAAGGCCCAGACAGCCAGGAUGUUGGCUUAGAAGCAGCCAUCAUUUAAAGAAAGCGUAAUAGCUCACUGGUCGAGUCGGCCUGCGCGGAAGAUGUAACGGGGCUAAACCAUGCACCGAAGCUGCGGCAGCGACACUAUGUGUUGUUGGGUAGGGGAGCGUUCUGUAAGCCUGUGA